CGCUGGCGGAUGCCUUCACCUCCGGUUUUAAACUGUAGCACGGGGAUGCAUCCUCGCGUGGUUAAUGGACGACACAGGGUGAGUAAUGAUAUCGGAACGUGCCCCGAUCGUGCGGGGAUAACGCAGCGAAAGCUGUGCUAACUAUCCUGGCAUACAGAUCUACGAGAUGAAAGCGGGGUGAUCGCCAGACACUCGGGCGAUUUGGAGCGUGCCUGAUAUCAAGAAUUAUCUACGUUUGGUGCGGUGUAAAGAGCCCGCCCAAUGGCGACGGAAUCUGUAGCUUGGUCUUGAAGAAGCGACGACGCAGCCACGACGUGGAACUUGAGGACACUGUCCAACAACUCCUAACAGGGAAUGCAGCAGUGGGGAAUUUUGGACACAUGGGCGCAAGACCUGAUCCAGCAAUGCCCGCAGUGCAGUGAUUGAAAGUGCCUUACGCGGUUGUAAACUCGCUUUUGUACGGAACGAAACGGUGAGCUCUAACUAAAGUUUUGCUAAUGACGGUACCGUAAGAAUAAGCACCGGCUAACUACAGUGCCAGCAGCCGCGGUAAUACGUAGGGUGCGACCGUUAAUACGGAAUUACUGGGCGUAACAGCGUGCGCAGGCGGUUAUGUACAGACAGAUGUGAAAUCCCCGGGCUCAACCUGGGACCUGCAUAUGUGACUGCAUAGCUAGAGUACGGUAGAGGGGGACUGGAACUCCCGCCGUUGUACAAGUGAACUGCGUAGAUAUGCGGAGGAACACCCCGGAUUGGCGAAAAUGGCAAUCCCCCCUCGCAACCAUGGUUACUUGGAACAGCUUCAUUGCACGAAAAAGCGUUGGGGGAAGCCACAACCAGGGUUUUGAUUACCCCUGGUAUCCAAGCCUAAAAAGCAAUGUCACAUGGCUUGUUGGGUCUACACGGAACUCAGUAAC
RNAcentral lists this ribosomal RNA (917 nucleotides) under uncultured beta proteobacterium. RNAcentral's name for it is "bacterial SSU rRNA". It matches the Rfam family "Bacterial small subunit ribosomal RNA", at positions 34 to 847 of the family's 1533-position model. The record is from RNAcentral. Lineage: Bacteria; Pseudomonadati; Pseudomonadota; Betaproteobacteria.